Molecule: ribosomal RNA, 253 nt
Filed under: uncultured bacterium
Lineage: Bacteria
Description: partial 16S ribosomal RNA
Rfam family: Bacterial small subunit ribosomal RNA
Source: RNAcentral
UACAGAGGUCUCAAGCGUUGUUCGGAUUCAUUGGGCGUAAAGGGCGCGUAGGCUGCGGGGCAAGUCGGGUGUGAAAUCUCAGAGCUCAACUCUGAAACUGCACUCGAUACUGCUUUGCUUGAGGACUGGAGAGGAGAUUGGAAUUCACGGUGUAGCAGUGAAAUGCGUAGAUAUCGUGAGGAAGACCAGUGGCGAAGGCGGAUCUCUGGACAGUUCCUGACGCUGAGGCGCGAAAGCGUGGGGAGCGAACAGG